RNAcentral lists this long non-coding RNA (230 nucleotides) under Elaeis guineensis (African oil palm). Its description in RNAcentral is "long non-coding RNA (EGUI_LNC071546)". Lineage: Eukaryota; Viridiplantae; Streptophyta; Magnoliopsida; Arecales; Arecaceae. The record is from RNAcentral.
CUCAACUCAAACAGUCUUGUGACUCCUCACAAGGACUAUCCUGGCCAAGAUUUUAUUAAAUUGAAACACGACUAUACAUAGCUCCUAAACUAGAGUGGUCAAUCUCAUCUUGACACACGUACCGAUAAGUCAAGUACUUGACUACACCCAGCAGCCUCCCAUCACUGAAUUAAAAAUUUAGGUAGUCCAAUGCCUAAGUGCAAUGAUUUGCUUGCAAGUCAUCGUGGUGG